CACACUUUGUACUUCCCAUUUUGGAAACAGCUGGGCUACUUGAAUCAGAAAUGGAGCUUGUAAAUAGAUUUCUGACUGGAAGCUCAGAUGCACUGCAGAGUAGGAGCUCCUCGAUCAAACUUUUGCAGUAUUUUCCUGCCUAUAGCGUGGUCUUCUCUCAGUGUCUGGCUCUUCAGAGACAAUGAUCAUGGAUUGUAUUAUCUACAAUUUUCCUUUCUAAGUGGCAGCCUCUGAUAUCUUAUACAUUCUGAGUUUUUGAUUGAAGAGGAAGCUGAAAUAUCAUGCUAGGCUGAAUGAGAUAAAGCUCAGUUUAAUUUAGAAGAACUUCACAUUGUGCGAAGCACUGUGAGAGCUGGAUCAGAUCUUCUCGGACACUUCAGUUAAAUCCCGUGAUCUGCUGGAUUGCACUUGUCCCAUGGAACUGAUGAUUUGAACAGCGCUAGCAGAAGGGUAAAGUUUUCCCUACGGUAUUUCUUUACACAGUUUUGUUAGGGCUGUAAUACUCAUUGCUCUUGUGUAAAGGGAAGGAGGGAAAAGCGUAUAAGGGAGAGGUUAUAGUUCAUUUGUAUUAUGAAGUAAACAAGAAAGGCAUGAUAUUUCAGAUAGAAGGCCGUGUUUUGACCUUGAGAACUUAAAUACCAUCAUCUUACUCUGUACUUUUGAAAACAGUUUCAGCAGAGUUUCAUUUGUUUUGCACUUCUGACCUUAUUUUAAGUGUAAAUAUUUUGCUCAUAAUUUUGAUGACAGAAUUUGUAAAUCUGCAUCUACAAUAUGUUCCCAGUAGGUAAUUGUUCCAUGUCACACCCAGGCAGAGCUGAGAUACAUCCUGGUAAGCAGAGUACGCUCUGAGGAACAAUGUCACACUGCCCCAUAUGUUUCUUCCUCCUAAGGAGGUCACGGCCUUCUAUAGGAAGUUUUAAAAGCCUACCAGAAACUAUAUUUGAGUAGUUUUAAUAAACAAAUGUUGUGUUACA
This 974-nucleotide long non-coding RNA is filed under the name Numida meleagris (helmeted guineafowl). RNAcentral describes it as "lncRNA (ENSNMEG00000000093.1)". Lineage: Eukaryota; Metazoa; Chordata; Aves; Galliformes; Numididae. The record is from RNAcentral.